Molecule: transfer RNA, 61 nt
Filed under: Acinetobacter baumannii ABNIH10
Lineage: Bacteria; Pseudomonadati; Pseudomonadota; Gammaproteobacteria; Moraxellales; Moraxellaceae
Description: tRNA-OTHER
Rfam family: tRNA
About the family: Transfer RNA (tRNA) molecules are approximately 80 nucleotides in length. Their secondary structure includes four short double-helical elements and three loops (D, anti-codon, and T loops).
Source: RNAcentral
CGUCGCCAAGUGGUAAGGCAGCGGGUUUUGAUCCCGCCAUCCGUUGGUUCGAAUCCAGCCG